RNAcentral lists this long non-coding RNA (3907 nucleotides) under Cinara cedri. Lineage: Eukaryota; Metazoa; Arthropoda; Insecta; Hemiptera; Aphididae. The record is from RNAcentral.
GUGAUUUUCUUGGAGUAUUUUGAAGGCAAUUUGAUUUAAGUUUGUUUUUUUUUUUUCAAUCAUAAUGAUUGAAAUGGAAGCUUUAUUUUUAAAUUUCUACCCCUGUUCGCCGUAUACCUCGAAACGAGUAUUUAUAAUUUUCAAUUUCAAAUGGCACGAAUAAAUUUCAUAUCUAUUACGAUUGCACGCUUCUCUAGUCUAAAUUUGUUAACUCGUAAAUAAUAACGGUAAAUCCAGUUGCCAAUUCACACCAAAAGAAAAAUAUCCUCGUUUCGAAUCCUAUUUGAAAAUGUUCGAGAACAGAGAGGCAAAAUCGUUUUUUGAUAUGAAAAAUUGAUAAGCGUUUAUAGUGAAAUUUCGAAAACAUUUUCAAUAUGGUAUGUAUAGAAUCUGCAUAUUAAAAGAUUCUAUAAUAAUAGGUGAAGACCGGCAAAAACCAAAAUCGAUUUUGGGUACUCAAAAUGUUCGUAGAUCGUGAUUAAAAAAAAAAAACAAAACAAAACAAAACACCAUGUAUAUUAUUAUUCUAUAGUUUCCUACAACUAAAUUGACUUAUAUUGUUAAUUAUUAUUACUCUAUAUUAUAAAUGUCUAGUCAUUAUACGUUUAAAAGAUCAUUUUAAAAUUAUUUUUAUCGGUUUCGAAUUAUAGAAGAGAUUGUGCCACAACCACAAAUCUCAUAAUAUUAUAAUGUAUGAAACAACUAGAUACCCACGACUCCCGUGAGUAAAUCUGAAGCUUUGCAACCAUUUAUACUAAAGGGCAUAUUGCAUUCAUUAAACUAUUAGUUUAUGUUAUGAAUUUAUCUGAUGAAUAUAUUAGUGUGAUAACACAAAAAAUAGUUAAUAUUAAUCGCAGAUUGUUUCUGUGUCGUCAAACAAUUCGAGACAUAAACAUAAACAUGGACCUGAAGUUAGGAAAAGCUAAACUCAUUUUUGGUGAAAAUGUUUUGAUAUAGAACCUAACAUAUAACAUUUAAUUUGUAUUUUAAUAUGUUGGCGGGGCGCGUCUCGAUCACUAAAAUUCCAAGAAAUAAAAACAAAAAUAUUUUUAAAAAUUGUCCAAUUUGUCAUAAACCAAUUGAAAUAAUUGAGUUUGGUCCUUCUUGAUCAAAUUACCAGAAAUAUUUUGUGAAUCAAUCAAUACAGUUGACCUUUUUAAUAUAUGACUGCUGACUUCAUUGCUCUUCUGGGACUAUAAUACAUUCGGAGGUAAUUUUGUUUUAUAUAAUAUAAACCACAAGAAAUGAUCGUCAAUAUUUAAAUAAAUAUCAGUUAAAUAUUAUUAUGUUACGGGUAAAUACGAAAAACCUGCACAUUCUAUAAGCCGGGUAAAUUCAAAAAUAACUAUAAUGAGUAACCCAAAAAAAAGAAGAAAAAACUUCAUAUUUAAAAAAAAAAAAUGUAUUCUACUCGAGUUGUUUCUGAAGAGAUUUAACAGUUUCAACAAUUAACACAGACAAUGUAAAUACGAAAAUUAAACAAGUCAUGGUCACGUUUAGUAUAACCGUACACAAACAUGUACGGUAGAAAAUAUAGUUUACUUAUUAUCUUUAUGUAAAACUAAAAGAAAACUUUUUAUUUAUUUUCCACUUGUUAAUUGAAUUGGCAGUUAUUCACGGUGUAUUCAAAAUUUCAGCACUUACCCGUAACAUAAUACACAAUACGUUAUUGCAGAUAUAUUUAAUAUAUUAUUAAUAACAUAGUAGUGUUAAGGAAUAUUUUUAAAAUAUUUUCUUUAAUCGAAUUUGAAGUGCUUAAAAUUGAUUUUUUUUUUUGUUUUUAUAUAACAUUUAAGAUUCAAUUAUUAUCGUAUGCAUUGUUAAUACAUUUAGAUAUUUUAUAAUUUUUUUUUUUGUCAAAUUUAGCUAUCCCAUUUUUGGUCGUAGAAUUUUAAAUAAUAUUUCUAUCGAUUGUUUUAAACGAUGUACGCAACAAUUUCCACAAUUUAACUAUUGACAUUUUUGAGUCGAUUAGAAUACAUUACAAAAUAUAAUACGCUCGUAAUUAAAAAAAAAAAAUGAACCUACAUUAAAAUCAACAAAACUACAUAGGUCCUAUAGAUUCCUACAUUUAAAACGAGAGACAAAUUUGUAUUGUUCGUAGGAAUAGAUACCAGUUAAAGUUCAAAAACUAUUCAUAAAUUAAUCCAUAAUUAAUUAACCAUAAAGUUUUAAAAAUUAUAAUUUCCAGACAUUUUCAAAAAUGCAUAUCAUAACUGUUCACACAAUAGUUUAUUUGUUUUAUAUUUUUAUUAUUUCUAAUAUUACAAAAUAUCGUUCGAAAUGAACAAACAGUUCAGAAAAUAAUAUUAUAAUAAACGCGUAAUUUUUGUUAUGUUUUAAAUUGAAAUUAAAUUAAUAACUAAAUUGAAAAUAAUAAGUCCAAAAACAAAAAACUGAUCAAUAAAAAAAAAAAAUGUACGGUAUUUUACUAUUAUGCAUAAUACCUAUACAAAUUUUGAACGUUAAUUUUGACACCACGCGUUUUCUCCGAGAAACUAUAAUCCAAAUAUAAUUUAUGUUUUUUCUAUUUGAUCUUGUAGACACAACAUAGCAAGAAAGUUUCUAUAAUAUAAUACUCGUCUAAUGAAAUUAACAUCACGCGCGCCAAUUUGAACCCCCGAAAUUUAAGUUAGCGUAUACGGGUAAAGUUUUCAAAUGUAUCUACACAUUUUUAGCUAGACAGUGCAUGCACUAUAAUUAUUACUUGAACUAUUACUUUCAACGCUGACGAAAGGUUCUAAACAAAAGUCAAAUUAAUUAAAUAAUGUAUAUUAUAACAAUUAUAUUAUUAUACGUCUUUACGUAAAAUGAGUAAAACUCGCUUAAUUUUAGUUUUACAGUAAAAGCGUCCAUUAUAAUAUUAAAAGAAGAAAAAAUUUCGUAGAGCAAUAUGCCAUAUUUUUAUAAAAAAAAUUAAUUUCUUGAAAAUUUACAAUAAUUUUAAAAACGUUGAAAUGAUCGUUGUUUCAAAACAACAUUUUUUCGAACCUUAGAUUGGUAUGGUAAUUUCAAUGGGCCUCCACUCGUCCCUAUCUACCAAAGCUACUUUUAAAAAGUUGUUUUCCCUAUUUCUACUAACAUCAGUUUUAUAAAAGGAGUUUUUAUUGAUCUUUCUCUUCCAGCUUUUUCCUCUUUUAUUAUCGUCACUAUUAACCAUUCAUUGUGUCCAAUACAUUUUUCUCCCUUUCCCUGAUCCCUUUUCAAAAUAUAUUUAAGUGUAUUAAAUGAACUUGAAAUAAUGGGAAAAGAAAAACGCAACGUCUCGCACUCCGAAAUGUUAUAAUUUUUAUAAUACGUGCUUUUACUCUAAAACCAAAAUUAAACUAAUUCUAUACUCAGUCUGCGUAAAAGUGUUUUUGCUGUGUCGCGAUACAUUUAGUAAUACGGAGACAACCACGUAUGCUGGUAUAGCAUCCUAUUAAAUUCACGACCGAUCAUUUUAAACACCGAAGAAUAAAACGACCCAUACUUUGAGGUUUCGGUAUUAUAUUAAUUUUGUAUUUUAAAACGAAAUAUGUUAAUAAUAUUAUGCUACUUAUAAUAAAUACAACCAAUCAUAUUAUAUUAUUGUAUAAUGGUACAUAUAGUAUACGAUACGAAUAUAUUAUUGUUAAAUAUUUUAUAGGCUAUACUCGUGUACAUUCGGUACAUAAAAAAAAAACCACCCCGCCAAAUGCGAUAUUAUAAUGUUCAUUAAUGUAUUACCUAUACCUACUUUACGCUGUAUUUUUGUGCGUCUUAAACAAACUAUAUCAAUACCUAUAAUAUUUGUCAUUUUUCUCCUCCUAUAUAUAUAUAUAUACUUUAAGGUAUUAAUAAUAUUAUCCAAAUACCAAUGUUGUUAUAAUUAUUAUUUUAGUUUACACCGAAACGCUUGUAACAAGUGUGUACUUGAAAAGUUACC